AUUAAAAUGAAUUAUUUUUUUUAGAUUUUUGCCAAAACCCUUGUACUUUUUUUUUACCAACAUUGAUUAAAUGAGUGUAAUUAAUACCUAUAAAGAAAAGUUUUAAACCUUUUUUAUCUCUUUCGGUUGCACAUUCACUCGGUUGGUCGCUUCGGCUCACACGCGCUUUUUACACUAACCGUUUAUUUAGUUGUUGUUGGAUACACCCAAAAAAGCAUCCAUCCGUUGUCGUUUGAAAAUUUUCAACAAAAUUAAAACAAAAAAACAUUUAUUGUUGUGUUUUCGGAAGCAUUCAUUGUUGGAAGAAACACAACAGAAUCGAACGAAAUUAAAAAACAUAUUCGUCGUUACGACGUUUGCAGAGCAGGCGCACAGAAAUUUUAGUUAGCCAGAGAGGAACAACACAUACUGACUAUAAAUAUGAGGGAACAACAACAACGACCAGAAAAUAUACAGAGCAAAAAGCUCUCAAGAGAGUAGAAAAAUAAUAUUGAACAAGAAACUAAACAAAAAAAUAAAAUCAUGACAAUAAACAAACAGGUUGAGUUGUCAAGUAAGCGAUUUUAAUACAAAUAUUG
Long non-coding RNA from Lucilia sericata (common green bottle fly), 578 nucleotides. RefSeq lists it as uncharacterized. The transcript has 3 exons. NCBI's taxonomy places the organism in Eukaryota, Metazoa, Arthropoda, Insecta, Diptera, Calliphoridae. The record is from RefSeq and is a predicted model, not a curated record.